CCUACAGGAGGCAGCAGUGGGGAAUAUUGGACAAUGGGGGGAACCCUGAUCCAGCCAUGCCGCGUGUGUGAAGAAGGCCCUCGGGUUGUAAAGCACUUUCAGUGAGGAAGAACGCCUGGUGGUUAAUACCCAUCAGGAAAGACAUCACUCACAGAAGAAGCACCGGCUAACUCCGUGCCAGCAGCCGCGGUAAUACGGAGGGUGCGAGCGUUAAUCGGAAUUACUGGGCGUAAAGCGCGCGUAGGUGGCUUGAUAAGCCGGUUGUGAAAGCCCCGGGCUCAACCUGGGAACGGCAUCCGGAACUGUCAAGCUAGUGUGCAGGAGAGGAAGGUAGAAUUCCCGGUGUAGCGGUGAAAUGCGUAGAGAUCGGGAGGAAUACCAGUGGCGAAGGCGGCCUUCUGGACUGACACUGACACUGAGGUGCGAAAGCGUGGGUAGCAAACAGGAUUAGAUACCCGAGUAGUC
This 465-nucleotide ribosomal RNA is filed under the name Vreelandella stevensii. RNAcentral's name for it is "partial 16S ribosomal RNA". It matches the Rfam family "Bacterial small subunit ribosomal RNA", at positions 338 to 795 of the family's 1533-position model. Lineage: Bacteria; Pseudomonadati; Pseudomonadota; Gammaproteobacteria; Oceanospirillales; Halomonadaceae. The record is from RNAcentral.